GACGAACGCUGGCGGCGUGCCUAAUACAUGCAAGUCGAGCGAGCUGAACCAACAGAUUCACUUCGGUGAUGACGUUGGGAACGCGAGCGGCGGAUGGGUGAGUAACACGUGGGGAACCUGCCCCAUAGUCUGGGAUACCACUUGGAAACAGGUGCUAAUACCGGAUAAGAAAGCAGAUCGCAUGAUCAGCUUAUAAAAGGCGGCGUAAGCUGUCGCUAUGGGAUUGGCCCCGCGGUGCAUUAGCUAGUUGGUAGGGUAACGGCCUACCAAGGCAAUGAUGCAUAGCCGAGUUGAGAGACUGAUCGGCCACAUUGGGACUGAGACACGGCCCAAACUCCUACGGGAGGCAGCAGUAGGGAAUCUUCCACAAUGGACGAAAGUCUGAUGGAGCAACGCCGCGUGAGUGAAGAAGGUUUUCGGAUCGUAAAGCUCUGUUGUUGGUGAAGAAGGAUAGAGGUAGUAACUGGCCUUUAUUUGACGGUAAUCAACCAAGAAAGUCACGGCUAACUACGUGCCAGCAGCCGCGGUAAUACGUAGGUGGCAAGCGUUGUCCGGAUUUAUUGGGCGUAAAGCGAGCGCAGGCGGAAGAAUAAGUCUGAUGUGAAAGCCCUCGGCUUAACCGAGGAACUGCAUCGGAAACUGUUUUUCUUGAGUGCAGAAGAGGAGAGUGGAACUCCAUGUGUAGCGGUGGAAUGCGUAGAUAUAUGGAAGAACACCAGUGGCGAAGGCGGCUCUCUGGUCUGCAACUGACGCUGAGGCUCGAAAGCAUGGGUAGCGAACAGGAUUAGAUACCCUGGUAGUCCAUGCCGUAAACGAUGGAUACUAGGUGUAGGAUGUGAUAAACAUUCUGUGCCGUCGCAAACGCAGUAAGUAUCCCACCUGGGGAGUACGGCCGCAAGGUUGAAACUCAAAGGAAUUGACGGGGGCCCGCACAAGCAGUGGAGUAUGUGGUUUAAUUCGACGCAACGCGAAGAACCUUACCAGGGCUUGACAUAUACAGGAAUAUAUUAGAGAUAGUAUAGUCUUCGGAGUCUGUAUACAGGUGGUGCAUGGUUGUCGUCAGCUCGUGUCGUGAGAUGUUGGGUUAAGUCCCGCAACGAGCGCAACCCUUGUCAUUAGUUGCCAGCAUUAAGUUGGGCACUCUAAUGAGACUGGCGGUGACAAACCGGAGGAAGGUGGGGAUGACGUCAAGUCAUCAUGCCCCUUAUGACCUGGGCUACACACGUGCUACAAUGGGCAGGUACCAAACCGAGGAACAAAGCCUGCGAAGGCCAAGCGAAUCUCUUAAAGCUGUUCUCAGUUCGGACUGCAGUCUGCAACUCGACUGCACGAAGCUGGAAUCGCUAGUAAUCGCGGAUCAGCACGCCGCGGUGAAUACGUUCCCGGGCCUUGUACACACCGCCCGUCACACCAUGGGAGUCUGCAAUGCCCAAAGCCGGUGGCCUAACCUUCGGGAAGGAGCCGUCUAAGGCAGGGCAGAUGACUGGGGUGAAGUCGUAACAAGGUAACCGUAAUCACUAGUGAAUUCGCGGCCGCCUGCAGGUCGACCAUAUGGGA
Molecule: ribosomal RNA, 1557 nt
Filed under: uncultured Lactobacillus sp.
Lineage: Bacteria; Bacillati; Bacillota; Bacilli; Lactobacillales; Lactobacillaceae
Description: bacterial SSU rRNA
Rfam family: Bacterial small subunit ribosomal RNA
Source: RNAcentral